Drosophila virilis is the source of this 1536-nucleotide long non-coding RNA. RefSeq lists it as uncharacterized. NCBI's taxonomy places the organism in Eukaryota, Metazoa, Arthropoda, Insecta, Diptera, Drosophilidae. The record is from RefSeq and is a predicted model, not a curated record.
CGGCGUCGUGAACUUGACCGUGGCUAUCAACGUUAAGAGAUCUCUCUCAGCUUUUGCACUGGCCACGCAGACGGGCAAUUUUCGGAGCGAUCUAAGCGUGGACCCGUCCAUUAAUAAUGCUGCCCCGUCGCGUCGGGUUCGUUCGCGUUGCGCUCCAGUGAACUCCAGUUCCAGCGAGGAGCUAGCUGGCUGCAUUUUGGGUUUGAGUUCACGCUCCGAUCCGGUUAUGAUACGCUCGAUGUAUCUCUAGUCGCUGCUCAGCGCAGCGUGCCGUGCAUUCCAUUGCAAUGGCCAGCUAAUGGAUAGAGCUGUUUCUGUGGCACCGGACUGGGAAUGCCAUGAUAAGCCAAGUUGUUCAAUUAGAAAUGCGAUUUGUGCUAAUCCCAAGACAUGCGAACAGCUGGCGAAAGUCACCCAGAUAAACCGUCGAGCAGCACCUGUGCUAAUCAGCCCGCCCCCAGGCAAAACUCUAACGAAUUCUAGUCAGCCAAGUAGCUGGCCCGCUUCUUGGAAUAAAAUGACUGGGAUGUUCAUCAACAACGCUCACAACACCCAAACGUGACUCCCAACGUUGACUGCCAAAAAUGCUGCAAACGCACCCACAGCAGAGACGCGAAGGCGGAGACCCGACCGAAAGCCACAAAGUUCCAUAAAAAUUAUACCAGUUCGCAGCAUAAUCUGGCAGACAUGUGUGAAUUUGCGGCAUUAUCUGCUAGCCAAGAUCUGUUUCAGUUCAACAACAAAAGCAACAAACAACAAACUUUGUUCAGAUCGCGCUCGCCGCAGUUUUUCCCACAGUCGAUCAACAUAAAAUGAGAUACGGAGAGAUAUUUGACACAGCAGCAGCAGCAGCAGCAACAGCAACAAAAACAUAUUCAAAUCCAGGACAGUUCGCGCCACCAGAUGGCGCUGCCUUAGUGAAGCCACAAACCCAACAAGCCCCCCCCAAAAAAUAAUAUUCAAUGCCUGGUUUUAAGGACAUGCGUGCUGGCACCAGCCCGCCUCAAAGGAGCCCACGAACAUCCCGGUGGAGUUCGUCCGGAGUUUCUGUGGAUUUAGUCGACAUCGGCAACGAUUCGGGGGCGGACGUUGUCGGUCUUUGAUGCGGGCAGCAAAUGCUGCUAUAUCAUAUUUUAGAAUAUAUUAUUACAGAUCUUUUAUAUCCAAAACAGGCAAAUUUUAACAUAUCAAUAUGCUAUUUUUUAUGAAUUAUGAGUACUACUAUCUAUAUAUUUAGAUAAUUGCUUCAAAUCUAAUAAUAAUACGUAAGCUCGUUGGGUUAGGGCUGGAACUAUUAGCGUAAGCCCAAUAUCGCGGGUAUUACCCCUUUUGGCUAAAAGCCCGGGCCUGAAAGACACGCUUGUCUCUAUUAGUCGCCUCGUACGACAAGCGAUGAUAUGCUGUGGAGGUAUUCUGAAGCCCGCCAACCACACGGACGACAAAUAAAGAUAUAGAUAUGAUUGCGAAAUGGUUUAUUUUUACCAAACAUCGAACCAUAAACCAAAGAAGUUGCACAAUAAAAGACUUAAACAGAAA